This 305-nucleotide ribosomal RNA is filed under the name uncultured bacterium. Its description in RNAcentral is "bacterial SSU rRNA". It matches the Rfam family "Bacterial small subunit ribosomal RNA", at positions 335 to 656 of the family's 1533-position model. The record is from RNAcentral.
UUGCCUACGGGACGCAGCAGUGGGGGAUAUUGCACAAUGGGGGAAACCCUGAUGCAGCGACGCCGCGUGAGUGAAGAAGUAUUUCGGUAUGUAAAGCUCUAUCAGCAGGGAAGAAAAAAGACGGUACCUGAAGAAGAAGCCCCGGCUAACUACGUGCCAGCAGCCGCGGUAAUACGUAGGGGGCAAGCGUUAUCCGGAUUUACUGGGUGUAAAGGGGGCGCAGACGGCGAUGCAAGCCAGGAGUGAAAGCCCGGUGCCCAACCCCGGGCCUGCUCUUGGAACUGCGUGGCUGGAGUGCAGGAGGG